This 484-nucleotide ribosomal RNA is filed under the name Planococcus salinarum. RNAcentral's name for it is "bacterial SSU rRNA". It matches the Rfam family "Bacterial small subunit ribosomal RNA", at positions 281 to 753 of the family's 1533-position model. The record is from RNAcentral. Lineage: Bacteria; Bacillati; Bacillota; Bacilli; Caryophanales; Caryophanaceae.
GCGUAGCCGACCUGAGAGGGUGAUCGGCCACACUGGGACUGAGACACGGCCCAGACUCCUACGGGAGGCAGCAGUAGGGAAUCUUCCGCAAUGGACGAAAAGUCUGAACGGAGCAAACGCCGCGUGAGAGACGAAGGUUUUCGGAUCGUAAAACUCUGUUGUGAGAAAAAAAAACAAGUACCAAUUAACUACUGGUACCUUGACGGUACCUCACCAGAAAGCCACGGCUAACUACGUGCCAGCAGCCGCGGUAAUACGUAGGUGGCAAGCGUUGUCCGGAAUUAUUGGGCGUAAAGCGCGCGCAGGCGGUCCCUUAAGUCUGAUGUGAAAGCCCACGGCUCAACCGUGGAGGGUCAUUGGAAACUGGGGGACUUGAGUGCAGAAGAGGAAAGUGGAAUUCCACGUGUAGCGGUGAAAUGCAUAGAGAUGUGGAGGAACACCAGUGGCGAAGGCGACUUUCUGGUCUGUAACUGACGCUGAGGCG